Long non-coding RNA from Bubalus bubalis (water buffalo), 10737 nucleotides. RefSeq lists it as uncharacterized. The record is from RefSeq and is a predicted model, not a curated record. The transcript is spliced from 7 exons. NCBI's taxonomy places the organism in Eukaryota, Metazoa, Chordata, Mammalia, Artiodactyla, Bovidae.
UUUUCCCCUUUGCCUUUCAGUUCUCUUCUUUUUUCAGCUAUUUGUAAGGCUUCCCCAGACAACCAUUUUGCCUUCUGAAUUUCUUUUUCUUGGGGAUGAUUUUGACCACCACCUGCUGUGAAAUAUUACUUUCCAUAUUUCUUCAGGCACUGUGUCUUCCAGGUCUAAUCCCUUGAAUCUAUUUGUCACUUCCACUGUAUAAUCAUAAGGGAUUUGAUUUCGGUCAUACCUGAAUGGCCUAGUGGUUUUCCUUAGUUUCUUCAGUAUCAUCUUUAGUUAAAGACAAAAAAAGCAUGUUGGGAGUAGGGGUUUGGGACCUCAAAGGGGAAGAGGGUAGUGGACAUGGAGAUGGAAAAGCAAAUGUUUGCUGGGCAAGGCAGAGACAAUGGGACACAGAGACAAUGGGACACGCUUCAUCUUUAAGAGUUUCUCCCACCACACCUAGGCCAUAUUCUUUCCAGAUAUCUCUGAUGAUAGCUAUAUUCCUCAAACAGGCUCACUAUCUAAAUUUUUCAGGUAGUUAGGGAUAUGGCCAAAAUGUCUUCCUGAAACUUGACAGUUUUCAGCUAGAAAUAGUCUGCAUAGUACGAAACAUCUGGGUAUGGCAAGUUCUGCUCCCUGAAUCCUUGCUCGCAAAUGAAAGUGUUCAGCUCACAAAUGAAAAUGUUCAGCUAUUUGUCAUUUGAUUCCAUUUAUACUCCAGGCUCCUUCAGCUGAAUCCACAGUACCUACCAGACCUGCUAUGAUUGCCAUGUUUGGUCAGUGAGGCCCCAGAAAACUUUGUCUAUCUGGCACCUAGACUCGACUACUGAUGGCUCCAGCUAGAACAGUUAAGGUUCACAACCAUUUCUGCACAACCCCGUCUCCUGACCAUGAUGACAACAACCAGAGCCCCAGAGUACUCUUUUAGCAAUGGGUCAGUUAAAAGACCCAGGACUGCACACCAGGCACUAUAUUGGAAAGUUCCAGUACUGGAGAUGCAAGGCACAAUCUUGGACCUCAGGGAACACAUAAUGCAACUACAUUAUGAUGGGUAAAGUGGUAACAUAGGGCCAGGAUGUUGAGUCCAGAUUUCUUUCUAGGAAAAGCAUUAAUAACAUUUACACUGAAACCCAAAGAUAAGGAGGGUUUAGGUAAGAAAGGGUGGCUCAGCUGGUAAAGAAUUGCCUGUAAUGCAGGAGACACAGGUUUGAUCUCUGGGUUGGGAAGAUGCCCUGGAGAAAGGAAUGGCUACCGGCUCCAGUAUUCUUGCCUGGAGAAUUUCAUGGACAGAACUUGGUGGGCUACAGAACAUGGGUUUGCCAAGAGUUGGACAUGACUGCAUGACUAACAUACUAAGGUAAGAAAAAUCAGAACCUAGAAGAAAGAAGAAAAGAAGAUGGAGUGGCAAUGGCAUUUAGAAACACAGAUGGAAAAGGGCAAACCAAUCCUCAUGUGGGUUUGUGGUCUAAAAUCAGGUCAUCCAAAUAGGCCGAAAAAUCAUUUAGCCAAGAAUUUAGCUUAAGUUGGUUCUGGCUGGUAGAUUCCUCUAGACCUAUGGCAGAAGCAAAUUCAAAUCCUCCUUGAUCUUGUUUUCAAACUAGGUAUCAUAUAAUUUAUACUGAUAAAGUUCUAGAAAAAGAGCUUAUAAUAAAAAUAACACACCUAUACUGACACAUAUGGAAAUGAGGCAUAAUGAAUGUGAACCAGCAAGAAGAUCAGUAUCUGACCUGAAAAUUUUCAAAUACUGAAAUUAUUAAACACCCAACAAAAAACAAGUAUGUUUAACACACUUCAAGAAAUAGAAAAGAUUACAGUGCAAAUGAAGAGUAAAAGACUAUAAAAUAAGAUGGAUUAUAUUAACAAAAAAUUCUGGAUAUCAAACUACAAUGGUCAGCAUAAAAAUGCAUAAUGAAUAGGUUUAACAGUAGGUUAGGCACAGUUAAAGGAGAGAAAUAGUGAACUCCAGAUAGAUCUGCAAAACUUACCUAGAAUAUGACACAGAAUCAAAGAAAUGGAAAAUCUGAUAGAGGUAAGAUAAGUUAAGAAAUCACAUCAAGUGAGAAGUUGCAAAAGAGAAGAGGGGGGUGGGGCAGAAGCAAUACUUGAAUAGGUAAUGGUUGAGAAUUUUCCAAAAGAGGUAAAAGCAAUCAUUCUACAGCUUUGUGAAUUCUUACAAAAAUAAUAUUAAUUCAGAACCUACAUCCUACACAUCAUAGAGAAACACAAAAGGCAAAGAGAGGGUUUUAAACAGAUCCAGGUUAAGAAAAGAAUACACCUCAAAGGAAUGGCAAAUAAACUGAUUACAGACUUCGCAUAGAAACAAUGGAAGUUUGAAAACAGUGGGGAGGUAUUUCCCUGCACUGGGACAAAAACUUGUUGACUUGAAAUUGUGUGCCCUUCAAAGAUAUCUUUCCAGAAUGAAAAGAAAAUGUAGAUGUUUUCAAAGAACUGAGCAUGUUUCUCCACAACACACUCUAAUUUUGCGGAUUCUAAAGGGUGCACUUCAGACUGACGGACUGUGAUCACAAAUGGAAGGGCAGCAUGAAGGGAAAAAUCAUGACCAGAAGAUGGUAUAAAUAUGUAGGUGAGUUUAACAGUUUCUGGUGGCAUAAAACAAUGAUUAGAAUAUGUCACAAGGUUUAAAAAAGAGGUAACAUUCAUGCCAGCAAUAGCAUAGAAAUAAGGAGAACAGGAAGUCAACAUCUCAGAAAGAAUGUUUGUCUGAGAGGAAGUUAUAGAGUAACCCAUGUGAUAUUACAUCUUUUAAUUAAGCUUUAAGAGUUUGCCAAGUAAUACGGUGCAUUGCGGAUGGUUACAUACCCCAUAUAGUACAAGUACAAAGCACUCAUGAAUAGCAUGUGUCCAUGUUCAGACGCUAAGUCAUGCCCAACUCUUUGUGACCCCAUGGACUGUAGCAGGCUUCUCUGGCCAUGGAAUUUCCCAGGCAAGAAUACUGGAGUGGGUUGUCAUUUCCUUCUCCAGGGGAUCUCCCCCACCCAGGGAUGGAACCUGCUGUCUCCUUCAUCUCCUGCAUUCGCAGGCAGAUUGUUAACCACUGAGUCACCUGGGAAGCCCCUAUGAAUUUGAGUUACACACCAAUUUAAUGGUUGUAGUUAGCUAUUAGGAGAUAUCAGAGAGGAGGACAGAAGACAUUUCAGUUGUCACUAUAAUUUUUUUAUUCUGGAAAUACAAAUAUAUCUGAAACAAAUAUAGACAAGUUUAAGAUGUGUCCAAUCUAGGUAGUAGGUAUACAGAUAUUCUUGUACAUUAGAAAUAUUGUAAUAAGCAGAUUAUUUUGAAGUCAACAUGACUGAAAAGGAAAGUUUACAGGGUAUUAAUUGGAGGUUAUGGUGGCUAGAAGGAGUCCCUGUUCUUCUUUUAAAGUAAAUCUGGAAGAGAAUUCAGCUUGUUGCCGUGCCACCAGGACAGAGCCAGCGAAGAGAACAGCUGAUCGGCCUGGGCCCCAGGAUUCAGCCUGCGCAGGAGAAGGAGUCCUCCUCUCCUGCUGGGAUGUGUGUGGGAGGAAACCAGGCGCAUUUCUGAGUUUUGCACAAGAGAGUUGAAGGUAUUCCUAUCUGAUUGCUUAGGUCAACUCUGCAUGAAUUCGUCUGCUGAGACGGGGAGAGCAGAUGUUUGAGGAGCCUGAACAGAGCCUUGAAUACUGAUGGAAAGGUGCCACAGCUGUGUUUUGGCAAAGUGGGAGGGAACACCCGCCAUCAGUUUGUGGAAUGUGCUUUCUGUAUACCAAAGCCAUGUCUCUCCUUUUCUCACCCCGUUAAAAGGGUUUCAGUGAAUUCUUCCGGCGGUUCCACAGCAUUUAGGUUUGAACCUGAGAGGCCAGGUGGGGAGACAGUCUGCUCUAAUCCACCUGUGUCAGUACGUCACCCUUUUCCCUCAACUUAGGGCACAAUCUGUGCUUCUUAGACUUAGCUGGAGAUCUUGUUAAAACACAGACUCCAAGUCAGUGAGUCAGGAAUGGGACCUGACCUGCAUUAAGUUUGCAAGUGAUGCUGCUGCUGCUGAUUGAUAGACCACACUUUGAGCAGAAAACUAGCCUGGCUCUGGCUCAUUUGGGUCCUUGUUAAACAUUUCUUGCAUCUUCUUGAUCUGGACCUCCACCGCCAUGCCCCUGGAGCUCGAUUGUGGUUUUAUCUCCACCUCUGCAUAUGGGUGAUCCACAGGAGUUUGCUCCUAAGGCUGCCCUGGAGGACUUGGGUCUGCUUCAGUGAGGACUAGGCAUGCAGCUGGCACAGCAGCUUGGAUCAUGGGGACCACAGCAGCGCAAGGGGAUUGUCCUUCCUUCAAGUUCAGCCUAUGAAGUUUGGAUGCAUCUGAGAUCUUCUUCACCCAAGCUCCAUGGACUAAUCCUGAGCAAUCAGAAUCUGCUCCCCCCCAACUUCUGGCUCCUGCUCCAAAUGGCUAUGGAUUUGGGGAUGGAUGGUUUUUCAUAAUUCAACAGGAUCCAGUCAGAGCAAGCAAAUUCUGGGAUAUUUGCUAUAAGCACAGGUUGUCCACCAAGAAGAGUGCUGGACCCAAGUGUGAGACGUGGAUCUGAAUUCAUGAGUGAAGAGCUCAACAGACAGCCAGUCUCAGAGCCCACGGCUCUCAGUGGAGAGCACAGGGACUCAAGAAGGAGUGCUAAGCCCAACAGCACUGAGGGACAGAGGUCCCCUUCCUCUUCUUGCUGGAGUUUAACAACUUGUGCUUAGUGAUACAUGGAUCCAGGCUGGUACCAUGAACCAGGCCACACAGAUAUAAGCAGCACUCCACAGAACAAGGACCUCUCCAGCCCCUGACAAAGGCGAUGUGUUAUUCCCAGCAGUGGGGCAGCUGCUCUGAGACACGCCAUCACCGGUUGCCCCGUGUGAGCCGUGGGCACAGUGACGGGGCUGUGAGUGAGAGGGGCUGGGCCCACGGCCUGGAGCUGAGGCCUCAGGAAGCCUCUCCUGUUGUCCAGCUGGCCUGUCAGGGGUGGCAUCUGCUCCAUCAGAGGUCAGGUUAAAGCACAAGGAAAGGGCUCUGUUUCAAAGGAAGGAAUCAGGAGCACUCUGCAUGCAUCCAGGGACCCUGGAGGAGCAAGGCUGGGAUAACCCAGGAAGCCAACAUGCAGGAGAGGCAGGACAGCAGGGCCAAAGGUGUGGAGGUGGACCUGUGAGAUGCUGGGGAGGGGAGAUGGAGGGAAAAUGACAUCCUUGUGUACCCAGGGGCCAGGCAUGGAUUCAGCGUUUUUGUAGAGAUUUCAUAAUAGUUCUAGGGAGCAGGUAUUUUUUCCUAGCCUAAUUGAGAUAUGAUUGGCAAAUAAAGAUUGUUUAUAUUUAAGGUAUGCAACAUGAUGUUGUGAUAUACAUUGUGAAAUGAUCACCGCAAUCAAGCCAAUUAACAUAUCCAUCACCUCACAUAGUUACCAUUUCGUGUGUGUGCGGUCAGGACACCUAUCUCAGCAGAUUUCCAGUAAGCAAUACAUCAUCAUUCACUGUCACAGUUUGCACGUGAGGACCUAUGCAGAGAGGAGCUCAGAGAGGCGAACCUGCCAAGGGCGCCCCUCGAGUGUCUGAUUCCAAAGACCCCUCCCCUCACUCACCCGCAGCAUUGGCCAGGAUGCUACCAUCCUCAUCCCUUCUUGGAGGAAAGGCCCUUUUGCUCCGGUUUACAUACAGCCAGUUGGAUUUUCCCUCAAAGUCAUCCCAGACCUGGGAAGCCUGUAGCCUGCAAGCUCAUCCUCAGUUAUACCAACGUGUUUCUUUCCCACUCUUAUAAAUUGCCCUCAGUAGAACAGGGCCUUUCUUUCUGAUCUAAACCCUGCUGCUGUAUUGAUUACUAUAAUUCAGCCCUAAUUGGACUUCUGCAAAGCCACAAGCUCAGACAGCGGGCUUCUUGGCCGCACAGCAUCCAUUAUUAAUGUGCCGGUGCUGGCCUUUACCCCACUCCCUGCUUUCACCUCAGGAGCUCUGGAAAACAGCCCGCUGAGUAAUGUGGCUUCCAUGUGUAUUUACCUCUUCAGGAUAUUUGUUUCCUCUUGAAGGAGAAGAGGGAUGCAAACCACACAAUUAGCAAACAGCUCUUUAAUUGCCUUUCUGCUGGCCCAAAGAUUGGUCUGGGUUAGGGAGGAUUCUCAAAUCCUCUCAACUCUAAGAUAUUGGGCUCUGUAAGUGGCAGAGUUGCAAGGGAGCCUCGGACUGGCCCGUGAGUCAGCCAGGUUCAAGAAGCCAGUAGGACAUACCCAGAAUCUGUACCUGGUCCCUGUUGGGUUGGCCAAAGGAGAAAGGUCACAAUGGGGCAAACAUGUAACACAACCAAAUUGAGGCAGAGAGGACCACAUUCUGUGGGCAGAAACAGAACAGACUCAUUAUUAGGACAGAUCUGGGAAGCUCACUUCCCAAUGAGAUCUUGGAGACAAGUGAAGUGUUUCAUGGCCCCCCAGGAGUGCAAAUGCCAGGAUGUAUGUCUGACAAACCCUGCUUAGUAGCUCGCCCAGGUACUGGUUCUGGUUAGACAGCCCUGGGCUGAGCCUCUCCACGUGGAGGCAGGCGUCGGUGCAAUGUGAGAGUCGGGUUACUGCUGUUCAGCUGCUUCAGGGGUUCAAGAAGGGCCACACUUCUUGUGCCUCCAAAGUCUGGGGCUCCUUCCCUGCCCACCAGAAGUCCAUGAAGCCAGGGGGCCACUGUGGAUCUGGUCGGGUUGGGGCUUCAGGGCAGUUGCAUGAGUUGCUCAGAUACUGAGAGGAACAGGGACAGGCUAGGAGUAGACUGAGCCCAACUCAUACUCUGGGGGUUGUUUGUUCUACAGACUAUACACCCACUCUUCCUUAAUACUGGCAGUCAGAAGACAGUCCCCAGGUCCACAGAACGACCACUCUUCAUUCUGCAUCACUCAGUCAUUUGACAAACCUUGAUUUCUGGCCUGGGCUUCCCAGGCGGCACAGUGGUAAAGAAUCCACUGGCCAGUGCAGAAGACACAAGAGACGCAAGUUCGAUUCCUGGGUCAGGAAGAUCCCCUUAAGUAUGAAAUGGCAACCCACUUCCAUAAUUUUGAUUGGGAAAUUCCGUGGAUAGAGGAGCCUGGUGGGUUCAAUGUAUGGGGUCCCAAAGAGUUGGACACUAUUGAGCAACUGAGUACACACACGUGCAAUUCCUGGCAUACUCUGGCAGAUUCUGGGGAAAUAACAGGUAACAUUGACAACAUUCGCCCUCUUGUAGUUUGCACGAGAGUGGGAAAGACAGACGCUGAACAGGUCAGCGAACACACAGACAAGGGCUUCUAUAGUUGGAGGGCUGGAAGACGACUAAAAGGGGAUUGUGCCAAGGGCCUAGAGGGCAGGUCUCCCCUAAACUCGUCUCGCAUCUUUAGGCACCUUGAGCAGGGAUAGUCCCAGGCUUCUGCUCUCUUUGACGGCUUGUUGCAGAGUCUGGGUCUGACCCUAGCUGGAAUUCCUGCAGUUUGCUCUCCAUAGGGAAGAUGGAGCAAGGGAUCAGACAGGCCCUGCGGAGGUCCCUUUCCUUCACUAACCUGGCAUAGGACUCUCAUUCCUUCUCACUCUGCAUGCCCUGGGCUUGUUUUGCAGUGCACACUGGUGCUCCUUGGGAAUGCAAUCUGUGCAGGCGGCCUCUGCCUUUCUUCAGUGCCCAAGAAGUACUUAGCAAGUGAAGAUGCGAUGAGAGAGGAGGGGACACUGGUGCAAAGAGAGGCUGGGGGCUGAAACCCUGUCUCUGCAAAGUGCUGCCUGCCAAGAUGAAUAGCUGUCUUCGCCCCUUCAUAGGGGCUGUGAACCGGUGCGUGACCCCUGCUGCAGGCAGCCUCAGACCCUCUCGUCUGCUGGCCUGCCUCUGCUAGGAGCCAGGACAGCUGUCUGCACUCUCUUCUCAAGCUACCCAGCUGGGGCCCUGGCCGCUUUGGCAGGGGUUGGCAGCUGAGUUCUUUGCACCUUUCUCUUCUUCUGCCUCCCUGUUCCUUCUCCUGGAGUGAAUGUCUGCCUGGGUCAAAAUGUGGAUCUCAAUCUCAGGGCCACAGGUGUGGGGCAGGGGUCUUCUGUUGGUUUCUGGAGAGUGAGGGGUGGCGUGCUCCUCCUGCCUCUUGCAUGGGCCCGCAUUUUGCUCUCAAUCAACUUCCAUGUUUGUUUUUGCAGAGUAGUCCUGAUUGUCAUGUCAGUUCAAAAUCUCCAAUUCUCUGUUAGAAAAAUGAGCUUCAUCUCCCUUCUAGUUUUGUUUCUCUUGGGGAGGGGCAUAGGGCAGAACUGGGAAGAAGUGAGCCCUUUCUCCCACUCUCCCCACCCCUGGGGCCCCCACCUUCCCUGCCUUCCCGCUGACCAGUUGCCUCCCCAGCCUUCCCUGCCGCCUUCACUCUCAGCGCUGGACGCCUCCACCCUCCGCGCUCCUCACUCAAGUUGGAACUGGUCCCCAGACCUGUCUGUCCUGCCUCUCACCAUCUUGCUCUCAGUGGGGCUGAGGCCAUUGGCUGCUGGCAUAGGCCAUGGGACCUGGUCCCUGGUACCACACCCCAGCCAGGGAACUGCCAGCUGUGUGCUUAGGCAAUUCUGUUAGCCUCCCUGUGCCCCUGUUUACCCAUCUGGAAAGCAGGGUAAUUCAAGAGGUGGUGAGGCUGAUGAGGUGAGGCAGAGCCUGGCGAGUGCGGGUGCUGCAUGGGUCAUUGGCCCGUCCUGCGCCCUCUGUCUCUGUCUCCGCUGCCCGCCCUCUCUCAGGCUCCUUUCCUUUGCCUGGACCAUCUCUGAGCCUCCCAACAGAUCACCUCCCACGUCACAUCCAUCCCCUUCACCUGGACAUUUUCCUUGCCACUUCCAGAGAGCCUGUCUUCCUACCACUUGAGACCUGCUGCUGGCUCCCACUGCCUGUAGGACAAAACCUCAAUCCUGCCUCCAGGCACCUGCGCCUCUCCCCAGCUUCCCCUGUGCGCAGCACCCUGACCCCAGAGAGCCUCCCAGGAUGCUGGGCUCCAGGGCCACGGGUGACUCUACCUUGCCUCGGCAUCAUCCGUGGGGAAGCCAGUGUCUGGUUCUUGACUUCUGUAGGUAAAUGCUGUGUGAUGAGUAAAACACACUUUCCUUUAAGUGUCACUGAGUGAACAAACUAAAUGAAAUUUAUGUACUUUGGAAGCAAAAAAAAAAAAACAACAACCCAAAACUGCAACAUUUUUGAUGCCAGAAAGAUUUUUCUACCUGAGCAGUUUGGAAAUCUCACGGGGCUUCCUGCUCACUCUCCUCCACAUGACUUGCCCUUCUGUGACCUGCCUCUCUCAUGCUGUUCUCAUUCUCAGAACGCUCUUCCUUCUUCUGCAGAUGAAUGUCUAGGCCCCUCUGAGGCCAUCACCUCCUCUCUGAAGGCUGUUCUCUUUCCACAGGCCUCCACACAAACCUAUGCAUGACUCCACAUUUGAGGAACAGGGCUUUGCAAUGACUAAACACCAUCUGAAACUGGUUUGUCUCCAUUUAAAACUAGCCUCCACUACCUACCAGCUGUGUGAGUUUCUUAACCUCUGUCUGUCUGUCCUCCCUAUUAGUAAUGGAGGCCUUAUGCCACAGGUGCUCUCAGAGGACUAAAUCUGUUCAUACAUUUAAUAUGCUUGUAUCUGUUCCUGGCAUAUUAGUACUAUUUAAGCUUUUGCCAUAUUAUUUAAAUAAGGUGUAUUUUGUGUGCUAGCUCUCUUUCCAGAAGGUUGAGAGACCUUGAGUGGCCAGGUCUCUUUGGCUGCUGGCUCUCUGCCUCUCUGGCUCCUAGGAUGGAGCUGUGUACAGUAAGCGUUGGGAGAGUGUUGGCUGGAGAUGCAGAGAAGGGUCCAGGCUCGGGUGCCACCAAUACUGGGGAGAGCUGGGCCCAGGCUUUGCUUCUGGGACCUGGUCUUGAUCUCAGGUUCGGUGUGUGAUCACAUGAGGCCCCAGGAGGAGCUGCCCAGGAUCUGGGCUUCUUGCCAGUGUGGACACUGAAAGCUGCUUCAAGUCUGAUCAAGAAAUCUUACCCAAGCACCCUGGGGCUCUGCUGGGGACACUCAUCACCUUUAGGACAAGGUCACCAAAGCGUGUGGUGUGGCCUGCAUGGUGCCCGGGGCUUGUGAAGGUUGCCUCUCACCGUCCAUUGCCUGUGAGGACCUGCAGAGUUUCUCCCUUGCCCCCCUCCCACCUAGGCAGUGGGCACUCGUGACUCCUUCAGAGGAGGGAGGCUCGAUCCCAGGGCCUCCAGUGUCCAUACCCUGUGGCGGAGGUUGUUCACCCACACUCAGAAACCAGGGGGGAACUGCGGAGGGUGAGGGGCUGUUUUCCACCUUCCAAGCACGUCUUUGAGCUCACUCCAGGGAAUCAGGGGCACAGGUGGCUGAGGACCAUGGCUCAGGCUCUGCAGGGGACAGGUGAGCAGGCGAGGGGCUGGGAGGAACGGCAGGACCUGGGGACCCUAGGGCCAUAGUGGUGGGAGGGUCUCCUCAGUCUCCCCUCCUGACGCACACACCUCCUCCUGAGGGAGCGGGCCUGGGCCUCCGCUCCCCUUCUGGACUGAGCGCGCGGGAGUCCGCUCUCUGCAGACAGGGUGAGUCUGGGUGAGCAAAGAUUCAGGGCCAGUGCCCAGCAAGGGGACCGAUGUCCCUGUUAAGUGAGGGAAUCUGGCAAAGCAGAAGGAACUGCUCUGUCAGCUGUGCAGAUGGUGAGGGAUGGGGAGACAGGGCCUAGAAGCCCUUGGCAGGUCAGUGCCAUGCCCUGUCCAGCAGAGGGAGGGAGUGAGUGAGUGAAGUCGCUCAGUCGUGUCUGACUCUUUG